This 271-nucleotide ribosomal RNA is filed under the name uncultured archaeon. RNAcentral describes it as "partial 16S ribosomal RNA". It matches the Rfam family "Archaeal small subunit ribosomal RNA", at positions 477 to 747 of the family's 1478-position model. The record is from RNAcentral.
CAGCGCCACAAGUGGGAAUCACAAUUAUUGGGCCUAAAGCGUCCGUAGCCUGUCUGAUGAAUCUCUUGUGAAAUCGUUCGGCUCAACCGAACGGCGUGCAGGAGACACUGUCAAACUAGAGACCGGGAGGGGUCAGAGGUAUUCCAUGAGGAGCGGUAAAAUGCUAUAAUCCAUGGAGGACCACCGGUGGCGAAGGCGUCUGACCAGAACGGAUCUGACGGUGAGGGACGAAAGCCAGGGGAGCAAUCCGGAUUAGAUACCCGAGUAGUCC